UACGUAGGUCCCGAGCGUUGUCCGGAUUUAUUGGGCGUAAAGCGAGCGCAGGCGGUUAGAUAAGUCUGAAGUUAAAGGCUGUGGCUUAACCAUAGUACGCUUUGGAAACUGUUUAACUUGAGUGCAAGAGGGGAGAGUGGAAGUCCAUGUGUAGCGGUGAAAUGCGUAGAUAUAUGGAGGAACACCGGUGGCGAAAGCGGCUCUCUGGAUUGUAACUGACGCUGAGGCUCGAAAGCGUGGGGAGCAAACAGG
RNAcentral lists this ribosomal RNA (252 nucleotides) under uncultured bacterium. RNAcentral's name for it is "partial 16S ribosomal RNA". It matches the Rfam family "Bacterial small subunit ribosomal RNA", at positions 524 to 776 of the family's 1533-position model. The record is from RNAcentral.